RNAcentral lists this long non-coding RNA (911 nucleotides) under Capsella grandiflora. Its description in RNAcentral is "long non-coding RNA (CGRA_LNC000782)". Lineage: Eukaryota; Viridiplantae; Streptophyta; Magnoliopsida; Brassicales; Brassicaceae. The record is from RNAcentral.
AAAAAAAAAAAACAAAUCUUAAAAUUAAAAAUGAGAAAAAGUGUAGAUAUCUUUAGUUUCAUCACAUGUAUCAUGAUUUUCUUGUUGUUAACAGGUUAUAAACAUUAUGAUACAUUUCAAGUUUUGUUUUGUUUUUUUUUUGUGUUUCAAUUACCGGCUAUUGUUUAUUAUUCUUUCUUUUCUAAACCACAUAGGAAAAAAACCUUUCUAGUUUUGGAACUUAUAUUUGCAAGUGUUUAUCAUAAAAAAAUAUUAGUAAAAUUAUCAUGUAAAUAUAAGGUUUAGAACCUCUUACAAUCUUAUAAAUAUUUGGAUUUAGUCACCCAGUAGUAAAGAUGAUCUUGAUGUACGGUAUCAACCAUAUAAAAUUACGGGGUACACCAAAAGGGGUAUUUCUCAAAAAAAUUCAAUUAUCAUGAUCCCAUUACAUUUAAUUAAAUACCAUUAUUCUCAUUAGAUUAAGGAUGAACCACAAUUAUGAAGCAAGAAAAUUAUGACAUGUUAGAUCUAAUUGACCAAAACACAAUUGGUUUAGUUCCUUUCAUAUAAUAUACAGUAGUGUACUUUAUUUUUUACCUUAGUAAAAACAAAGAUAUCAUUUACUAAUUAUUAUGGGAUUUUGAAUGUUUCUUACAUAUUGACAUGUUUAUAAUUUUAUCAGGAGUAUCAAAAGGAAAGGCUCCGGUGAAGCCAAAGCAUGUACCUGCACCGAGCCAAUGUCGCAGUUCUACUAAGCAACGAGCAGCUUUCGCAUCUGGACUUUGUAAUAAACCUAAAAAUGGUUUAAUAGAAUGCAAGAAAUCUUGCAAGGCUCAUCAUUAUACUGACGGUGUCUGUGAAUUGUAUAAUGACAUCUAUGGGGUUUAUAUUGGUUGUUCUUGUAUACAAUGCGGAUGAGGGGAUCAUACCAU